CAGCCUCCGCGGGGAAUACGGAGGGGGCUAGCGUUGUUCGGAAUUACUGGGCGUAAAGCGCACGCAGGCGGCUCGAUAAAUUAGAAGUGAAAGCCUUGGGCUUAACCUGAGAAUUGCUUUUAAGACUGUCGAGCUAGAAUCCAGAAGAGGGUAGUGGAAUUCCGAGUGUAGAGGUGAAAUUCGUAGAUAUUCGGAAGGAACACCUGUGGCGAAAGCGGCUCACUGGACAAUAACUGACGCUGAUGCACGAAAGCUAGGGGAGCAAACAGGAUUAGAUACCCCAGUAGUCCCUGUCUCUUAU
RNAcentral lists this ribosomal RNA (301 nucleotides) under uncultured bacterium. Its description in RNAcentral is "partial 16S ribosomal RNA". It matches the Rfam family "Bacterial small subunit ribosomal RNA", at positions 509 to 807 of the family's 1533-position model. The record is from RNAcentral.